AGCGUCAGCGGCGCUGGCUCGGCCGAGUGAACGAUGUUACGGACUACGGUAUCGCGACACGUUAUCACUCAUGCCUUGUCCGGCGUCGUCGUCGUGCACUUCUCCUCUAGUAGAACGUCGCGACCCGUUGGGUGCCGGUCUACGGUCCGAGCGGUAGACUGUCGCGUCGCUUCGGCGCACGCGUCAGACCCUCGGUCGCCCGGCCGGCUGCCCGGCGGUCGAACUUAUAAGGUAUCUUGCCGCAAUUGUAAAACUGCGUCGGGCCCGCCGCAAGCGCGGUCAGUGUCUC
Molecule: ribosomal RNA, 289 nt
Filed under: Vespula germanica
Lineage: Eukaryota; Metazoa; Arthropoda; Insecta; Hymenoptera; Vespidae
Description: partial 28S ribosomal RNA
Source: RNAcentral